UACAGAGGUCUCAAGCGUUGUUCGGAUUCAUUGGGCGUAAAGGGUGCGUAGGCGGCGUCGUAAGUCGGGUGUGAAAUCUCGGGGCUUAACUCCGAAAUUGCAUUCGAUACUGCGGCGCUUGAGGACUGGAGAGGAGACUGGAAUUCACGGUGUAGCAGUGAAAUGCGUAGAUAUCGUGAGGAAGACCGGUGGCGAAGGCGGGUCUCUGGACAGUUCCUGACGCUGAGGCACGAAGGCCAGGGGAGCAAACGGG
This 253-nucleotide ribosomal RNA is filed under the name uncultured bacterium. Its description in RNAcentral is "partial 16S ribosomal RNA". It matches the Rfam family "Bacterial small subunit ribosomal RNA", at positions 524 to 776 of the family's 1533-position model. The record is from RNAcentral.